This 392-nucleotide unclassified non-coding RNA is filed under the name Hevea brasiliensis (rubber tree). Lineage: Eukaryota; Viridiplantae; Streptophyta; Magnoliopsida; Malpighiales; Euphorbiaceae. The record is from RNAcentral.
GGUGUUGGAGUUGGCUGGAAAUGCGGCAAGAGACAACAAGAAGAGCAGAAUCAUUCCUAGGCAUGUGCUUUUGGCAGUGAGGAAUGAUGAGGAGUUGGGAAAAUUGUUGGCUGGUGUUACAAUUGCAAGUGGAGGUGUUCUUCCUAACAUUAACCCAGUUCUGUUGCCUAAGAAAUCGGCAGUUGCCGAGGAGAAGUCACCUAAAGCUAAGGCAGGAAAGUCACCGAAGAAGGCAUAAGUCUCAUUUAGAAGUUUCAUUGUCGGGUUAAAUAUGCGUCAAAUCUUUUGUCUAGUUUAUGGGUACUUCUAGCAGUAGGACGUAGAUUUCUGUUAUGGUUUUUAUAACCUUGGUGUAAUGUGCUUGGAAAUAUAAUAGAAAUUAUCUCAUUUUC